GACGAACGCUGGCGGCGUGCUUAAUACAUGCAAGUCGAACGGACAGGCCCUGCUUUUGUGGGUUGCUCGAGUGGCGCACGGGUGAGUAACACGUGAGUAACACGUCCCUGUCAUUGGGAUAACUCCAGGAAACUGGGGCUCUUACAGGGUAGGAGAUCUUGCUGCACGGUGGUGGUUGGAAAGAUACGGCGGUUCGGGAUGGACUAGCGGCUUAUCCGCUUCUUGGUCGGGUAGUCGCUUACCAAGGCUAUGAAGGGUAGCCGGCCUGGGAGGGUGACCGGCCACAUGGGGACUGAGAUACGGCCCAGACUCCUACGGGAGGCAGCAGUGGGGAAUAUUGCACAAUGGGCGGAAGCCUGAUGCAGCAACGCCGCGUGCGGAAUGCCGGCCUUCGGGUUGUAAACCGCUUUCGCCUGUGACGAAGCGUGAGUGACGGUAAUUGGUAAGGAAGCACCGGCUAACUACGUG
This 468-nucleotide ribosomal RNA is filed under the name uncultured bacterium. RNAcentral describes it as "partial 16S ribosomal RNA". It matches the Rfam family "Bacterial small subunit ribosomal RNA", at positions 28 to 507 of the family's 1533-position model. The record is from RNAcentral.